This 392-nucleotide ribosomal RNA is filed under the name uncultured bacterium. RNAcentral's name for it is "partial 16S ribosomal RNA". It matches the Rfam family "Bacterial small subunit ribosomal RNA", at positions 523 to 918 of the family's 1533-position model. The record is from RNAcentral.
AUACGUAGGGGGCGAGCGUUGUCCGGAAUGAUUGGGUUUAAAGGGAGCGUAGGCGGGAGCUUAAGUCAGCGGUUAAAUGGUGCGGCUCAACCGUGCCCUGCCGUUGAAACUGGGUUUCUUGAGAGUGCAAGAGGCGGAUGGAAUUCAUGGGGUAGCGGGGAAAUGCUUAGAUAUCUUGAAGAACUCCGAUUGCGAAGGCAGUCCGCUGGGGCACGUCUGACGCUGAUGCUCGAAGGUGCGGGAAUCAAACAGGAUUAGAUACCCUGGUAGUCCGCACGGUAAACGAUGAUUACCCGCUGUCGGCGGCAGACAGUCGGCGGCCAAGCGAAAGCGAUAAGUAAUCCACCUGGGGAGUACGCCGGCAACGGUGAAACUCAAAUGAAUUGACGGGG